RNAcentral lists this long non-coding RNA (768 nucleotides) under Anser brachyrhynchus (Pink-footed goose). Its description in RNAcentral is "lncRNA (ENSABRG00000000021.1)". The record is from RNAcentral. Lineage: Eukaryota; Metazoa; Chordata; Aves; Anseriformes; Anatidae.
AUUUCAAUUUGUAAGUGGCAACAGAGGAAAAAGUGCCUUCCCAUUGAAGGUGCCAGGAGAAGAAAGAGAGGAAGAAUGGCAGAAUGAGGUCCAAAUCAACCACAGAAAGGUCAGAGUAAUGACAACAGGAAAAAAAAAAAAAAAAAAAAAAAAAAGAAGUAGGGGAAGUAGGAGAGUAGAGGAAUCACUUUGGGGCUAUCACAGCAGCAUCUGAAAUUUUGUCCCUUCUAUUUUUCCUGGAGGCUGUGCAGAGAGCGAGUAGGAAACAACUUCAGCAGAUGGUUUUCAUCACUGCUUCAAUACAAGCACUGUGACCAGAAGAAGAAGUAACGUGGCCAGGAAAUUUCUACCCCUCGGUCAACUUGGUAGCUGCAGUGGUCCAGCCCAAGGAAUAUAGAGGGAAGAUGCAGCAAAUUUCUUAAAGAUGUUUGGAAUAUGAGGAUGUCAGCCAAGUCUCAGAGAACUUGUUGGGGGCUAGUGGCAGCCCUACCUGCAUUUUCUGAUAAGUUCUCUUUUAGAGGGAUUCCCUUUCUAGAGACCUAAAGAGCUUCUCGUUAAUCAGACACUGCUUCUGGGGACAGCUGGAAAACAGAAGAAAAAGGAGGCCCAUCCACUUAGUGUUCCUCAGUAUGAUCUCAAGACUAAACAACUUGCACAGACUUACAAGGGGAGGCCAGUGUUACAAGUGUCAGCAGUGCACAUGCUCACAAUGUUUCAAGAAUGAAAAACUAAUACAACAGAAAAAUCAGACUCAAAAGAUUUGUAUUC